GAUGAAGAACGCAGCGAAAUGCGAUAAGUAAUGUGAAUUGCAGAAUUCAGUGAAUCAUCGAAUCUUUGAACGCACCUUGCGCUCUUUGGUAUUCCGAAGAGCAUGCCUGUUUGAGUGUCAUGAAAAUAUCAACCUUGACUUGGGUUUUGUGCUCUAGUCUCGGCUUGGAAUUGGGUGCUUGCCGCUUUUACGAGCGGCUCACCUUAAAUGUAUUAGCUGGAUCUGUCUUUGAGACUUGGUUUGACUUGGCGUAAUAAGUAUUUCGCUAAGGACAUUCUGCGGAGUGGCCUCGUUUCUAGGACGCUUGUCCUCUUUCCAAUACAAGUUCCACCUCGUGGACAUGACUUUUUAUUAUCUGGCCUCAAAUCAGGUAGGACUACCCGCUGAACUUAAGCAUAUCAAUAAGCGGAGGA
RNAcentral lists this unclassified non-coding RNA (413 nucleotides) under soil metagenome. Its description in RNAcentral is "partial contains 5.8S ribosomal RNA, internal transcribed spacer 2, and large subunit ribosomal RNA". The stretch from base 1 to 120 matches the Rfam family "5.8S ribosomal RNA", at positions 35 to 154 of the family's 154-position model. The record is from RNAcentral.